This 451-nucleotide ribosomal RNA is filed under the name uncultured organism. Its description in RNAcentral is "partial 16S ribosomal RNA". It matches the Rfam family "Bacterial small subunit ribosomal RNA", at positions 330 to 797 of the family's 1533-position model. The record is from RNAcentral.
CGUACACUCCUACGGGAGGCAGCAGUGGGGAAUAUUGGACAAUGGGCGCAAGCCUGAUCCAGCCAUGCCGCGUGAGUGAUGAAGGCCCUAGGGUUGUAAAGCUCUUUCACCGGUGAAGAUAAUGACGGUAACCGGAGAAGAAGCCCCGGCUAACUUCGUGCCAGCAGCCGCGGUAAUACGAAGGGGGCUAGCGUUGUUCGGAUUUACUGGGCGUAAAGCGCACGUAGGCGGACUAUUAAGUCAGGGGUGAAAUCCCGGGGCUCAACCCCGGAACUGCCUUUGAUACUGGUAGUCUUGAGUUCGAGAGAGGUGAGUGGAAUUCCGAGUGUAGAGGUGAAAUUCGUAGAUAUUCGGAGGAACACCAGUGGCGAAGGCGGCUCACUGGCUCGAUACUGACGCUGAGGUGCGAAAGCGUGGGGAGCAAACAGGAUUAGAUACCCCAGUAGUCCCA